RNAcentral lists this small RNA (138 nucleotides) under Klebsiella variicola. Its description in RNAcentral is "RtT sRNA". It matches the Rfam family "RtT RNA". From Rfam's summary of the family: This family represents a bacterial cis-regulatory element known as RtT RNA. The exact function of RtT is unknown although it is thought that it may be involved in changing the cellular response in relation to amino acid starvation. The record is from RNAcentral. Lineage: Bacteria; Pseudomonadati; Pseudomonadota; Gammaproteobacteria; Enterobacterales; Enterobacteriaceae. RNAcentral also lists the same sequence under 6 other names.
UUAUAUUCUCCGCUGGGGGGGAUGAGAACCCCCGACCGGGGUUCGACAACUGGCAACGCCAGUUGGACAGACCGCGAGCCUGCGAGCGGGCUGCCCCGCAGGGGCGAGCGAAGCGAGUCAAUCCCCCCCUCACCGCCA